UACGUAGGGGGCGAGCGUUGUCCGGAAUUAUUGGGCGUAAAGAGCGUGUAGGCGGUUCGGUAAGUCCGCCGUGAAAACCUGGGGCUCAACCCUGGGCGUGCGGUGGAUACUGCUGGGCUAGAGGAUGGUAGAGGCGAGUGGAAUUCCCGGUGUAGCGGUGAAAUGCGCAGAUAUCGGGAGGAACACCUAUGGCGAAGGCAGCUCGCUGGGACGUUACUGACGCUGAGACGCGAAAGCGUGGGGAGCAAACAGG
RNAcentral lists this ribosomal RNA (253 nucleotides) under uncultured bacterium. RNAcentral describes it as "partial 16S ribosomal RNA". It matches the Rfam family "Bacterial small subunit ribosomal RNA", at positions 524 to 776 of the family's 1533-position model. The record is from RNAcentral.